Molecule: regulatory RNA element, 118 nt
Organism: Clostridium sp. CAG:302
Lineage: Bacteria; Bacillati; Bacillota; Clostridia; Eubacteriales; Clostridiaceae
Rfam family: Ribosomal protein L10 leader
About the family: This family is a putative r-protein leader autoregulatory structure found in B. subtilis and other low-GC Gram-positive bacteria. It is located in the 5' untranslated regions of mRNAs encoding ribosomal proteins L10 and L12 (rplJ-rplL). A Rho-independent transcription terminator structure that is probably involved in regulation is included at the 3' end.
Source: Rfam
UGUUUGAGAAAUAUUAUGCCAAAGACAGUAAGGGCGUUAAGCUUGAAAAUCUUACCGAGGAAUAAAAAAAUAACAAGUCUUUUAUCCCUCGCAAGUAGAGGGAUUUUAUUAUGGCAUA